CUUUUUAGGGCUGAGCCGAGGGCAUAUAGAAGUUCUCAGGCUAAGGUUCCAAUCAGAGCUGCAGCUACUGGCCUAUGCCAUAGUCACAGCAAUGCUAGAUCUUUAACCCACUGAGUGAGGCCAGGUAUUGAACCUGAGUCCUCAGGGAUACUAGUUGGGCUCGUUACUGCUGAGCCAUGGAGGAAGAUCUCUGGUCUUUAGAUUUUUUUUUAAUAGAGUUGGUUGCUUCUCAAGUCUCUAGGUACGUGCUAUUGAUUGGUUUUAUGAGCUACUGCUUGAUGGGAGCAAAGGUAUUUCAAACUUUGGAGACAGACAUUCAGGAAAAGUUGAAGAAUUCCUUUCUGGAUGCCGAAACAGCUUUAAUGAAGAACUAUGUCAAUAUAACUCCAGAAGAACUUGAAAUCUUUUUGCAGAUGCUGGCUUUGUCUAUAAAACAUGGAAUAAUCCCCGUAAGAACUGGAGUUGUUUAUUUUAGUUGGAGUUUUAGGAACUCUUUCUCAUUUGUGGCAUCCACAUUAAGUACAAUAGGUAUAAAUCCUUCUCAGAAUUAUUCACACAUUUACAUGGCAAUAAUCAUGCUUUGGUGUGCCUUUGGCCUUACUUGGAUUGCUCUUCUGUUUGAUUUGUUUUCAAAAACAUUGGAGAAAACUAAAACAAAACUUACUUGCCAUAAGUUAUGCCAAACAGAAAGAAAGUCAUCUGGGAAAAGUUCAUAUAUCGGGCCCUUUUUUGCAUAAAUAAUCAAAAAGAGUAUCUCAAGCUUUUUUUAUUUUUAGAAACUGUGAGACAAGUUAAUGCAAAAGCGAAUAAACAUUGUUUUAUUAACCUGCCA
This 832-nucleotide long non-coding RNA is filed under the name Sus scrofa (pig). Its description in RNAcentral is "lncRNA (ENSSSCG00030000573.1)". The record is from RNAcentral. Lineage: Eukaryota; Metazoa; Chordata; Mammalia; Artiodactyla; Suidae.